GCUGCGAUGGCCGAGUGGUUAAGGCGUUUGACUAGAAAUCAAAUGGGAUGUAGGUUCGAAUCCUACUCGCAGCG
Molecule: transfer RNA, 74 nt
Filed under: Clytia hemisphaerica
Lineage: Eukaryota; Metazoa; Cnidaria; Hydrozoa; Leptothecata; Clytiidae
Description: tRNA-Ser for anticodon AGA
Rfam family: tRNA
About the family: Transfer RNA (tRNA) molecules are approximately 80 nucleotides in length. Their secondary structure includes four short double-helical elements and three loops (D, anti-codon, and T loops). Further hydrogen bonds mediate the characteristic L-shaped molecular structure. tRNAs have two regions of fundamental functional importance: the anti-codon, which is responsible for specific mRNA codon recognition, and the 3' end, to which the tRNAs corresponding amino acid is attached (by aminoacyl-tRNA synthetases). tRNAs cope with the degeneracy of the genetic code in two manners: having more than one tRNA (with a specific anti-codon) for a particular amino acid; and 'wobble' base-pairing, i.e. permitting non-standard base-pairing at the 3rd anti-codon position.
Source: Rfam by way of RNAcentral